Long non-coding RNA from Homo sapiens (human), 2000 nucleotides. The record is from Ensembl. Lineage: Eukaryota; Metazoa; Chordata; Mammalia; Primates; Hominidae.
UGCCGUGGCGCCAUCUCAGCUCACUGCAACCUCUACCUCCUGGAUUCAAGUGAUUCUCCUACCUUAGCCUCCUGAGUAGCUGGGACUACAGGCGUGCGCCACCACCCCUGGCUAAUUUUUGUAUUUUUAGUACAGAUGGAGUUUCACCACAUUGGCCAGGCUGGUCUCGAACUCCUGACCUCAAGUGAUCCACCUGCCUUGGCCUCCCAAAGUGCUGGGAUUACAGGCGUGAGCCACACUGCACCCAGCCUGGUAAAGGUUUUUUAAACAGCCUUCUUUCUUUUUUAACUUUUAUUGUUGCCUGAAAUUCUUUAUUUUUAUUUGUUUGUAAAUGUUUUCUAGCCUAUCUGUUCCAGAAAACUAGGAGAAAUAUUUAUGCUAGACAUAAAGCUAUAAUCUUGCAAACAGGCUGAAAAUAACUUUUUUAAAACUUAGAUAAUCUUCAGUUUGCUAUGACCGAAGUUUAAAAAUAGUUUUAUAUCUGCCUAUAUAUUUCUAUAUUAUGGAUAUUUAGUUUAAGAAUUGUUUGGACAGAUGUUUUUUGAGACAACUACAUUUACAAAGAUUGUACUUGGUGUCUACAAAAAAGCUUUUGCGAGCUUCCGGCGGGGAGGAGCCAAGAUGGCCGAAUAGGAACAGCUCCAGUCUACAGCGCCCAGCGUGAGCGACGCAGAAGACGGGUGAUUUCUGCCAUUUCCAUCUGAGGUACCGGGUUCAUCUCACUAGGAAGUGCCAGAGAGUGGGCACAGCCAUCCUACAGGAAAUUUUGCUCACUCCUGAGCUAGAGAAAGGUCAGAAAGAGCAGCAGCAGAGUCAAGAGAAAGAAGACAUGGCCAGAAGUCACAGGACAUAAGGACAGCCUCUGUUUCACCCUCCCCAAGGCUGAAGUAGGUCUCCAUUUUGCCCUAUUUUCUAGAAGUAGACACAUGCUACAAAGGAAUAAUGAGCUUUACAGUUUGCAUUGAAUUUUAUACACUAUGGAGAAUGGGGGUUACAUAGCACAGAUCACAGAUUUUCAAAAUCUGCUAGUGAGGGCUGGGUGCAGUGUCUCACACCUGUAAUCCCAGCACUUUGGGAGGCCAAGGAGGGCAGAUUACCUGAGGUUCUGAGUUUGAGACCAGCCUAGCCAACAUGGUGAAACCCUGUCUCUACUAAAAAUACAAAAAUUAGCUGGGCAUGGUGGCGCACGUCUGUAAUCCCAGCUACUCUGGAGGUUGAGGCACAAUAGUCACUUGAACUCAGGAGGCAGAGGUUGCAGUGAACCGAGAUUGCACCACUGCACUCCAGCCUGGGAGACAGAGCAACACUCCAUCUUGGGGAUAAAAAAAAAAGGCUCUAAUCUGUUUUGUUUUUUUCCCUUUCUUCCAACUGGAUAAUUUAUAUUGGUCUAUCUUCAAGUUAAUUGCCUUUUCUCUGUCAUUGCCAUUCUGCUACUGAGCUCAUCUGGUGAAUUUUUUAUUUUAGUUCUUAUAUUUUUCAGUUCUAAAAUUUCCAUUUGGUUCUUUUUUUAAUGCUUUCUACUUCUUUGCUAAGAUCAUCUAUCCCUCUGUUCAUUUCAAGAGGCUUUACCUUUGUCUCAUAGAGACCAGUUAUAAAAGCUGCUUUAAAAUUUUUGUAUUGUAAUUCCAACAUUUGCAUAAACUUGGAUGUGAUGGUUAACACUGAAUGUCAACUUGAUUAGAUUGAAGGAUACAAAGUAUUGAUCCUGGGUGUGUCUGUAAGGGUGUUGUCAAAUUAACAUUUGAGUCAGUGGGCUGGGAAAGGCAGGCCCACCCUUAAUUUGGGUGGGCACAAUCUUAUCAGCUGCCAGCGCUGCUAGAAUAUAAGCAGGAAGAAAAGUAACCUCCCAGCCUACAUCUUUCUCCCAUGCUGGAUGUUUCCUGCCCUCAAACAUCAAACUCCAAGUUCCUCAGUUUUGGAACUCGGACUGGCUCUCCUUGCUCCUCAGCCUGAAGGUGGCCUGUUGUGGGACCUGUGAUCAUGUGAGUUAAUACUUAAUA